UGGUUUGUUAACGUUGAAGUGGUAGCCGAAGCAGGGCAAUAUAGUUGAGGCUUCCUGAACCCAAGAAAGAACUAGUCAUUUUGCAGCUGUUUGUGCCCGAGACAUACUGGAGGAGAGGUAGUGUGAGAUAGACGAUAAAAUGCAACGCUAUAUGUUCUUCGCUGUCACGAAGGGGAGGCGAACAGGAGUAUACACAAGUUGGGAAGACGUCAAGGAGUAGAUUAUGGACUUCACUUUCCCUGAGUACCAGCUUUAGCAAGCUACCAACAAGUUGUUUUAGCAUUCAAUGCAAGAUUGCAUUCCAUUGCUGCUGAGAAUGCUGCCACUCUUGAAAUGAUGGGAUAUUCAUGCGAAGGUAGAGGGAAUGAGAAAGGGGACAAGGAAUGUGGGAAUAGCUGGCCAUGACUAGUGGUCUCUUGGCUUCCAGUGAUCCUAGAGGAGGAGGUCAAUGGUGAUUUUCCUAUACUGAAUAGCAUGGAGGAACUUUUGGUGAAGCUAUGCUACGAGUCCGAAAUCCUUGGGCCGUGUUUCUUUAAGCAAGAAAGAUAUCUUAGUGAUGUAGGCCCCUUCUAUGGUUUUACGGUGGUGCUUCCUGGGCAGCCAUACGAAGUUGAAAUGAGUGCGAAAGGUCAUUUUUCAAUGGUGGAAAAGAUGACGUACAAAGAAGCAGCUCUAAAGAUGGUUAGUCAAGUCCUAGAUAUGAUUAGUAAGGAAUUAAAGACUAUAACUACUUUAAAGUGAAGAUGCUACGUGAUACUAACAACGCACUUCGAGCGAAGGUUGGCCAAUUGGAAGAAGAUUAUGAAAAUUUGAUGGCAAGUUACCAGGUAGCUGUGAAUGCUCGUAUCGAAGGAUGUUUCCCUUGAAUUAAGUUGCUUUGAUUAUGUUUAUAUUUAAUAAUGAUGGUGUUGUUUACUUUGAUUGUGGUUAGUUAUGAGAUGCCUAGUUUCAAUUAAGUUGGUUUAUAAUGUCGAUUAUUGACCUGAAUCCUUUUAAUAUGAAUAGUAUUUGUUGGUUUUAAACGGAAGAUUAGUUGUGCCAUUAAUAGUGGUGACAAUGUUAUAUUGGUGUGUUGCAUUUUAUUUGCAAUUGAUGAAAGAGAAUGUUGUAGCUAAAA
Molecule: non-coding RNA, 1117 nt
Organism: Arachis ipaensis
Lineage: Eukaryota; Viridiplantae; Streptophyta; Magnoliopsida; Fabales; Fabaceae
Source: RefSeq, a predicted model, not a curated record